UUUAGCAGCUAGCUCUCUGCAACUCGCACAUGGUUGCCCACUAAAGCUAAGCAGGGCUGUGCCUGGUCAGUACCUGGAUGGAAGACCACAUGGGAAAGCUAGGAAGCUGCCGCAA
Danio rerio (zebrafish) is the source of this 115-nucleotide ribosomal RNA. The record is from Ensembl. Lineage: Eukaryota; Metazoa; Chordata; Actinopteri; Cypriniformes; Danionidae.